GAUGAAGAACGCAGUGAAAUGCGAUACUUGGUGUGGAUUGCAGAAUCCCGUGAACCAUCGAGUCUUUGAACGCAAGUUGCGCCCGAAGCCAUUAGGCCGAGGGCACGCCUGCCUGGGCGUCACACGUCGUUGCCCCCCCAUCUACUCCUUCGGGAUUGCGGGGGGCGGAUGAUGGCCUCCCGUGCGCCUCGUCGCGCGGUUGGCCUAAAUGCCAAGUCCUCGGCGACGCACGCCACGACAAUCGGUGGUUGCGAAACCUCGGUUGCCUGUCGUGUGCGGUCGUCGCGCAUCGAGGGCUCGAAAAAAUUGCCGGGCUUCGGCUCGACUUUCAACGCGACCCCAGGUCAGGCGGGGUUACCCGCUGAAUUUAAGCAUAUCAAUAAGCGGAGGA
RNAcentral lists this unclassified non-coding RNA (391 nucleotides) under soil metagenome. Its description in RNAcentral is "partial contains 5.8S ribosomal RNA, internal transcribed spacer 2, and large subunit ribosomal RNA". The stretch from base 1 to 122 matches the Rfam family "5.8S ribosomal RNA", at positions 35 to 154 of the family's 154-position model. The record is from RNAcentral.